This 709-nucleotide unclassified non-coding RNA is filed under the name Portunus trituberculatus (swimming crab). RNAcentral describes it as "uncharacterized LOC123520003, transcript variant X1". Lineage: Eukaryota; Metazoa; Arthropoda; Malacostraca; Decapoda; Portunidae. The record is from RNAcentral.
GUGUGAAUCCGCCUGCUCCCGUCACCACACGGCUCAUGCGCACUCGAAGCUUGCUGGUGAAGACGCGAUAAGGUGGUGGCGGGUAAGGUGUAGGACCACCGGCGGUAGCACGUUACCAUGUGAUUUCUUAGCUACCGAGUGGCUUGUGGUAGACAUGAUGACAUCAGGGAACUUAGUGCAAGUGACCACCUGGAUGAAAAGGAGAAAGUUGCACACAAUCUCCUUGUGAUGGGGGGUGAAAAAGAAUCCCAGCAGUUUCCCUGUACCAGUUGGACCAGCAUCCUGCCUGCCCAGGAAACUCCCAAGCUCACCACUAGAGAGAAUGACGAAAGUGGCUUCCAGCUGCCAAAGGAACUGUGGUCCGAUCAGCAGCUUAAAGAUAAAGAAAGAAAGAAAGAUUUGUGCAGUUCUCUCAUCCUGGUCUUGGAAGACAAUAUGCUACUGCCGAGAAGACUGAACAGCUGCUGCUACUAUUACUACACAUUCUAAUCAGACUUCCUAAGAGUAACCCAGUGUGUCAGACUUUGUGAACUUGUAGUGUUGCAAGUAACAAGCAUCCCAACCUUAUAAGAGUUCUAGGACUCCCCACCACAGUGAUGUUUAUUGAAUUUUUAUUUUUUUUUUUUUUAUAAUUUUUUCUGUGGCGAAAAGGGCUCAAGUUGUUCUCCGGAGAGUCUUUUGAGUAUAUAUAUAUAAAAGAAAUAUAGAG